UGGGCUCGUGGCUUAGCCUGGAUAUAGCGCCGGGCUUCUAACCCGGAUGCCGAGGGUUCGAAUCCCUCCGGGCCCGU
This 77-nucleotide transfer RNA is filed under the name uncultured archaeon. Its description in RNAcentral is "tRNA-Arg(tct)". It matches the Rfam family "tRNA". From Rfam's summary of the family: Transfer RNA (tRNA) molecules are approximately 80 nucleotides in length. Their secondary structure includes four short double-helical elements and three loops (D, anti-codon, and T loops). The record is from RNAcentral.